Long non-coding RNA from Andrographis paniculata, 377 nucleotides. RefSeq lists it as uncharacterized. The transcript has 4 exons. The record is from RefSeq and is a predicted model, not a curated record. Lineage: Eukaryota; Viridiplantae; Streptophyta; Magnoliopsida; Lamiales; Acanthaceae.
GCUUUGAUGAAUUCUUGGUUACUUAAAGAAUUAAAAUUAAUGAGCAAAGGAGAACAAGAGUAUGUGUGUAGUUAUGUUAUUGUCCAAAAGCUUUGAAAUGGUCCAGAUUGAAGUUGGAUUAUUUCAUUGUAAAGCUACAAGCAUACAACACUUGAGAAUCUGAAGCAGGCAUGAUUGAAUAUGCUUUAGUGGUGUGGAGAAGGAGAAGAAUUCAAAGUCACGCCUCCCUUUUAACAAUUCCCACAUAUUUCAAUUUUCAAGUUUUGUGCUGGGCCGUGGGCGUGCUCCUCUCUCUCUCUCUCUCUCUAGAAAUACACAAACACAAACACAACAUGUAUGUGUGAGAUGAAAAAAAAAAAAUGGUGUGGUUAUGAUAU